GGAUUAGAUACCCUGGUAGUCCACGCCGUAAACGAUGGAUACUAGCUGUCCGGUCUUCGGACUGGGUGGCCAAGCGAAAGUGAUAAGUAUCCCACCUGGGGAGUACGUUCGCAAGAAUGAAACUCAAAGGAAUUGACGGGGGCCCGCACAAGCGGUGGAGCAUGUGGUUUAAUUCGAUGAUACGCGAGGAACCUUACCAGGGCUUAAAUGUAGUCUGACAGGGGUGGAAACACCCCCUCCUUCGGGCAGAUUACAAGGUGCUGCAUGGUUGUCGUCAGCUCGUGCCG
RNAcentral lists this ribosomal RNA (287 nucleotides) under uncultured bacterium. Its description in RNAcentral is "partial 16S ribosomal RNA". It matches the Rfam family "Bacterial small subunit ribosomal RNA", at positions 775 to 1067 of the family's 1533-position model. The record is from RNAcentral.